GAUACAUUCACUGGAAAGCAUGCAUCCUGUUGAUGUUGUUCAUACUGGCCUUCUGAAAUGGUGGCGUGGCAGUACAGCAGAGAUCAAGCCAGCAGCUCCCUCCUUUGCAAGCUUCCUUGAUGCAUGGCCCUGUCUCCGGAGUCCCUGGUUCAAGACCCUUCACUGUUAGUCUAGGAUACUACUUUUACAGGAUGCCCAAAAGGAGUUGUUCCAGAAAUGUUUCUGUAGAGGAUCAAAGUUCUGAGAUAUUGUGGAAAAUACAGGGAUACUACUACGCCUGGCAAAAUUGGCAUGGACUGAGCUCAGGCUAUCAAGUGGAAUGGAUUACAUCCAAUCCCUGCAAAAAGAUUUGCAUGGAUAUGUCUAAGCAUGGAGGAAGUUAUAAACUAUUGAGAGCAUGUGUAUGUGUGUCUGCCGAUUCAUGUGGCUUGAGCUAUCUUUCCUUUAUAGAAAAAAAAAUUACUCCACAUAAUUAAGGCAUACAUAGAAUAAUGCAAUAUACUACAACUCAGCAUUUAGUUGUGAGAGAUAUAGUAAUCUGCCUACUGACGUUGGCCAUUCCAGGCUAUUUACAUGAGAGUUCCUCCAUCUUGAGAGGAUGCCCAACAAACUGUUCUUUCUAGAAACUUGUAUACAUGAGCUUUCAUGAACAUGCACAAGAAAGUAGUUUUUCAAGAAUAUUCAGUAAAAUGGCAUUGGAAAGUUUGAGAAAGCACCAUAUAUACUUUGAUGAAGGGAAGCUGUCCAGGAAACCAGAAGAUGGUGUUCUAAAGGAAGAGUAUUUUAUGUCCUCAGCAAUAUGAUGGCUGACACACACCUAACUGCCAUCAUAGAAAAUCUAGCCUUAACAAAAGAAGUUUGAAUCCUGGUACUUGGUAUUACAAUCCCCGCAGCAUACCAACAGUAUUACAGUCCUUACCACAGGGAUCAUCUUACCUUUGCAGAUGCGCAAUAGUGAGAAGAUAUUUAGUCAAAGAAAAAUGCAAGAUAGCAUCAGCUAAUCAUUCUGAUUUCAGCAGACCAGCCCUUCACUAUCAGGCUUUGUUGUUGUUUUUUCCCCAUGGCGUACAGCAGCAAAGUACAUACCUUUUGAUACUUCCAGGGAAAUCUUGUUCUAAUCCUAUUUCAUUUGAGAAUGAAGGUUCCUAAAUAGAUGGAUGUGCCUCUUUAUCCGGCAUGCCACUGUAAUCAGUUUAGACAUACUGCUACAAUCAGCAUGCCCUGAACUAAGUGCACUACUUCAAGUUGUAGAUUUAGACUGGUCUAAAUAUUAUGACUGCUUGAGCCUCCACAUGGCAAAUAAGCUAGACAAUGGUGAUAACAUGUAGGUUGGCUUAACCCAUCGAUCCACCAAAGCAGCAUAGAGAAGUCCACUUAAUU
Rhineura floridana is the source of this 1380-nucleotide long non-coding RNA. RefSeq lists it as uncharacterized. The transcript has 3 exons. Lineage: Eukaryota; Metazoa; Chordata; Lepidosauria; Squamata; Rhineuridae. The record is from RefSeq and is a predicted model, not a curated record.